RNAcentral lists this long non-coding RNA (202 nucleotides) under Vigna radiata. Its description in RNAcentral is "long non-coding RNA (VRAD_LNC007554)". Lineage: Eukaryota; Viridiplantae; Streptophyta; Magnoliopsida; Fabales; Fabaceae. The record is from RNAcentral.
GGGGCUCCCAGUAUGUCUCAAGGCCCGGAACGGACUAACCUCGUGAGUGUGGCAGGGUGGGGAACCCAAGUUUCAUAAGUCACCACGGGUGCAAGACUCGCCAUAGCCCGACUAUCAUUUUAAAGUCCGGACGAGUCAAGUCUAGAAAUUAACAUGCUUAGGUUGUGUUUCUUAAACUGUUUGAUGUGAAGUUGUCUCUAGA